CCUACGGGUGGCAGCAGUGAGGAAUAUUGGUCAAUGGACGAGAGUCUGAACCAGCCAUGUAGCGUGAAGGAUGACUGCCCUAUGGGUUGUAAACUUCUUUUAUAUGGGAAUAAAAUGUUCCACGUGUGGGAUUUUGUAUGUACCAUAUGAAUAAGGAUCGGCUAACUCCGUGCCAGCAGCCGCGGUAAUACGGAGGAUCCGAGCGUUAUCCGGAUUUAUUGGGUUUAAAGGGAGCGUAGGUGGAUUGUUAAGUCAGUUGUGAAAGUUUGCGGCUCAACCGGAAAAUUGCAGUUGAAACUGGCAGUCUUGAGUACAGUAGAGGUGGGCGGAAUGCGUGGUGUAGCGGUGAAAUGCUUAGAUAGCACGAAGAACUCCGAUUGCGAAGGCAGUUCACUGGACUGCAACUGACACUGAGGCUCGAAAGUGUGGGUAUCAAACAGGAUUAGAUACCCCAGUAGUC
This 460-nucleotide ribosomal RNA is filed under the name uncultured bacterium. Its description in RNAcentral is "partial 16S ribosomal RNA". It matches the Rfam family "Bacterial small subunit ribosomal RNA", at positions 338 to 795 of the family's 1533-position model. The record is from RNAcentral.